GAUGAAGAACGUAGCGAAAUGCGAUAAGUAAUGUGAAUUGCAGAUUUCAGUGAAUCAUCGAAUCUUUGAACGCACCUUGCGCCCUUUGGCUAUUCCGAAGGGCAUGCCUGUUUGAGUAUCAUGAACACCUCAACUCUCAUGGUUUGCCAUGAUGAGCUUGGACUCUGGGGGUCUUGCUGGCCUAUGGUCAGCUCCUCUCAAAUAAAUCAGCUUGCCAGUGUUUGGUGGCAUCACAGGUGUGAUAACUAUCUACGCUUGUGGUUUUCCAUCAGGUAACCUUCAGUGAUGGAGGUUCGCUGGAGCUCAUAAAUGUCCCUCCUCAGCGAGGACAGCUUUUUGAACGUUUGAUCUCAAAUCAGGUAGGACUACCCGCUGAACUUAAGCAUAUCAAUAAGCGGAGGA
This 402-nucleotide unclassified non-coding RNA is filed under the name soil metagenome. RNAcentral's name for it is "partial contains 5.8S ribosomal RNA, internal transcribed spacer 2, and large subunit ribosomal RNA". The stretch from base 1 to 121 matches the Rfam family "5.8S ribosomal RNA", at positions 35 to 154 of the family's 154-position model. The record is from RNAcentral.